GUGCUCGCUUCGGCAGCAUAUAUAUUAAAACUGGAACGAUACAGAGAUUAGCAUGGCCCCUGCGCAAGGAUGACACGCAAAUUUGUGAAGCAUUCCAUAUUUUU
Molecule: small nuclear RNA, 104 nt
Filed under: Cavia aperea (Brazilian guinea pig)
Lineage: Eukaryota; Metazoa; Chordata; Mammalia; Rodentia; Caviidae
Source: RNAcentral